Molecule: transfer RNA, 67 nt
Filed under: Pallenopsis pilosa
Lineage: Eukaryota; Metazoa; Arthropoda; Pycnogonida; Pantopoda; Pallenopsidae
Description: tRNA-Ile
Source: RNAcentral
AAUAGAUUGCCUGAAUAAUAAAGGAUUAUUUUGAUAGAAUAAAUUAUACAAUACUAUGUAUCUAUUA